This 840-nucleotide ribosomal RNA is filed under the name Acidovorax sp. V2M35. RNAcentral's name for it is "bacterial SSU rRNA". It matches the Rfam family "Bacterial small subunit ribosomal RNA", at positions 66 to 903 of the family's 1533-position model. The record is from RNAcentral. Lineage: Bacteria; Pseudomonadati; Pseudomonadota; Betaproteobacteria; Burkholderiales; Comamonadaceae.
ACGGUAACAGGUCUUCGGAUGCUGACGAGUGGCGAACGGGUGAGUAAUACAUCGGAACGUGCCCGAUCGUGGGGGAUAACGGAGCGAAAGCUUUGCUAAUACCGCAUACGAUCUACGGAUGAAAGCAGGGGACCGCAAGGCCUUGCGCGGACGGAGCGGCCGAUGGCAGAUUAGGUAGUUGGUGGGAUAAAAGCUUACCAAGCCGACGAUCUGUAGCUGGUCUGAGAGGACGACCAGCCACACUGGGACUGAGACACGGCCCAGACUCCUACGGGAGGCAGCAGUGGGGAAUUUUGGACAAUGGGCGAAAGCCUGAUCCAGCCAUGCCGCGUGCAGGAUGAAGGCCUUCGGGUUGUAAACUGCUUUUGUACGGAACGAAAAGACUCCUUCUAAUAAAGGGGGUCCAUGACGGUACCGUAAGAAUAAGCACCGGCUAACUACGUGCCAGCAGCCGCGGUAAUACGUAGGGUGCAAGCGUUAAUCGGAAUUACUGGGCGUAAAGCGUGCGCAGGCGGUUAUAUAAGACAGAUGUGAAAUCCCCGGGCUCAACCUGGGAACUGCAUUUGUGACUGUAUAGCUAGAGUACGGUAGAGGGGGAUGGAAUUCCGCGUGUAGCAGUGAAAUGCGUAGAUAUGCGGAGGAACACCGAUGGCGAAGGCAAUCCCCUGGACCUGUACUGACGCUCAUGCACGAAAGCGUGGGGGAGCAAACAGGAUUAGAUACCCUGGUAGUCCACGCCCUAAACGAUGUCAACUGGUUGUUGGGUCUUCACUGACUCAGUAACGAAGCUAACGCGUGAAGUUGACCGCCUGGGGAGUACGGCCGCAAGGUUGAAACUCA